Molecule: transfer RNA, 77 nt
Filed under: bacterium
Lineage: Bacteria
Description: tRNA-Arg
Source: RNAcentral
GCCUUCCUAGCGCUUACUACAGUAGGAGCUGCCUUCUAGGCAGAAGGUCGGGGGUUCGAAUCCCUCGCGGGGCGCCA